GUAGGUGGCAAGCGUUGUCCGGAAUUAUUGGGCGUAAAGCGCGCGCAGGCGGGUCCUUUAAGUCUGAUGUGAAAGCCCACGGGCUCAACCGUGGAGGGUCAUUGGAAACUGGGGGACUUGAGUACAGGAGAGGAAAGCGGAAUUCCAAGUGUAGCGGUGAAAUGCGUAGAGAUUUGGAGGAACACCAGUGGCGAAGGCGGCUUUCUGGUCUGUAACUGACGCUGAGGCGCGAAAGCGUGGGGAGCAAACAGGAUUAGAUACCCUGGUAGUCCACGCCGUAAACGAUGAGUGCUAAGUGUUAGGGGGUUUCCGCCCCUUAGUGCUGCAGCUAACGCAUUAAGCACUCCGCCUGGGGAGUACGGCCGCAAAGGCUG
Molecule: ribosomal RNA, 374 nt
Filed under: uncultured organism
Description: partial 16S ribosomal RNA
Rfam family: Bacterial small subunit ribosomal RNA
Source: RNAcentral